CAGCAGCCGCGGUAAUACCGGCGGCCCGAGUGGCGGUCACUAUUAUUGGGCUUAAAACGUCCGUAGCCGGGUUGGGAAGUCCUCCGGGAAAUCUGGCCGCUUAACGGUCAGAAUGCCGGAGGAUACUCCCAGCCUAGGGAGCGGGAGAGGCCGAGGGGAUUCCCGGAGUAGGGGUGAAAUCCUAUAAUCCCGGGAGGACCACCUGUGGCGAAGGCGCUCGGCUGGAACGCGUCCGACGGUGAGGGACGAAGGCCAGGGGAGCAAACCGGAUUAGAUACCCGGGUAGUCCUGGCUGUAAACGAUGCGGACUUUGUGUCGGACAAGCUAUGAGCUUGUCCGGUGCCGGAGGGAAACCGUUAAGUCCGCCGCCUGGGGAGUACGGCCGCAAGGCUGAAACUUAAAGGAAUUGGCGGG
Molecule: ribosomal RNA, 414 nt
Filed under: uncultured microorganism
Description: bacterial SSU rRNA
Rfam family: Archaeal small subunit ribosomal RNA
Source: RNAcentral